AACGAACGCUGGCGGCAUGCCUAACACAUGCAAGUCGAACGAGACCCUCGGGUCUAGCGGCGCACGGGUGCGUAACGCGUGGGAAUCUGCCCUUGGGUUCGGAAUAACUUCGGGAAACUGAAGCUAAUACCGGAUGAUGACGUAAGUCCAAAGAUUUAUCGCCCAAGGAUGAGCCCGCGUAGGAUUAGCUAGUUGGUGAGGUAAAGGCUCACCAAGGCGACGAUCCUUAGCUGGUCUGAGAGGAUGAUCAGCCACACUGGGACUGAGACACGGCCCAGACUCCUACGGGAGGCAGCAGUGGGGAAUAUUGGACAAUGGGCGUAAGCCUGAUCCAGCAAUGCCGCGUGAGUGAUGAAGGCCUUAGGGUUGUAAAGCUCUUUUACCCGGGAUGAUAAUGACAGUACCGGGAGAAUAAGCUCCGGCUAACUCCGUGCCAGCCGCCGCGGUAA
Molecule: ribosomal RNA, 449 nt
Filed under: uncultured bacterium
Lineage: Bacteria
Description: partial 16S ribosomal RNA
Rfam family: Bacterial small subunit ribosomal RNA
Source: RNAcentral